RNAcentral lists this long non-coding RNA (208 nucleotides) under Panax ginseng (ginseng). RNAcentral describes it as "long non-coding RNA (PGIN_LNC001633)". Lineage: Eukaryota; Viridiplantae; Streptophyta; Magnoliopsida; Apiales; Araliaceae. The record is from RNAcentral.
UCUAUUCGAACUUGCAAAACUUCAAUCCGAGCGUCCGAACGAGGUAUAUCUGACCUUCUUCAGACCGCUUGUGUCGAGCGUUACGCAAUGACAUGGAUUAGAGGUUGUACGAAGUCAGGAAGAGGGGUCUAUGCCCAUGGUCUUCAAGCUUUAAAUUCUAUCCAAAGUACUGCCACACGUAAUAGUCACUCGGGAUUGUUACUCCUCG